AGGUACAACGAAUGUAGCCAGUCAAGAUAAGUCAAGAGUAAUUAAUACUAGGGGUGUAAAUCGCGGGUUUUGUCACGAUACGAUAUAUCGAUACUGUGGUGAAUGGUCUUUGUUGUUUCGCUGGUCCCCAAAAAAAACACUCAGUGGACGAUGGCUGGUCCGGGUAAGGAAGCACUUCGGUGACACACGGCUGAUUGGGAAAAGAUUUAUUCAACCGAUGUCAAAGUGGCCCCAGGAGCAAAGAUGUUUCAGCUCUCGACAGCACAGAUGUUCGCCCCAAAAAGGCCCUCGCGCUUCUUGCUCUUGCCCCUUGCGCCCCUUGCGCCCCUGCUCUUGUCCUUCGCCCUCUGCGCGCCUUCUGCGCUUCUUGCGCUUCGCGCUCCCGUUCCUCUCUAUCUGUUCUCCCCCAUCAUUUGUACCUCGUAAGACAACAGCUGCGGUCCGAGUCUCACUCUACUGGUUACUUCCGAUGCCCGUAAAAGGGCAUGGACAAAGGUCUUCUUGGUCACGGACAAAUAGCCCUUCCAUAUUCUAAGUACCUACACAUUACUGAAACUAGAGCUUCUCUGUACCGCAAAAAUAGCUUAGGGUCUUCUCACUGCUGCAAGGUCGCCAUUUAAGGUGACAUACAGUGACGCAUAGAAUCCAAAAUUUACCUCAAUACAAAGAACCACGAUACGAUAUUUGCCGAUAUCUUAAAACCUGCUGUGAUUCAUUCACGAUACAUCGCGAUAUAGUACUCUACGAUCGAUAUAUAUUUUUUAUAUAUAAAAAAUAUAGAACAAUAUCCUGAUUUAUAACAAUUCAUACGCAAAAUCAACAAGGUACUGCAAACUGUAUUUAGGAAAUUACAAGAGUAUUGUAGUAUACAAAGUGCUUAUUUUAACACUGAACUUUGAUGUUGUGUUUUUUCUUUAAAUAUAAAUAUAGAGAUUUGUGGACCCUGAAUAUUUGAUCACCGCAUGGCAGGAUUCUAAGGAUGGCACGUGUCUUGCCCGUUGAGCCAUCUUUUCUUUGGAAUCCAAAGUGCUUCCAAACGAAUGACUUGAAGCCUAAAGGGGAGCAAAUCUCCUCGUCUUUUUGGACACUAGCCAUAGCACCAGCCCAGGAGCCGCGUACUAGUUGUCGACUCCCCUUUCACGUGCCUGCUCUGCUCACAACACAACGCCGCGGCGCACACUGCUCCCGGAAAGAGGAAGCAAGCAACAAUGAACUGGAUUUCAAAUAAAGUCGCGUCUAAUGUCCGAGAAAGAACUACGAUACGAUAUUUGCCGAUAUCUUAAAGCCUGCUGCGAUUCAUUCACGAUAUAUCACGAUAUAGUGCUCUACGAUCGAUAUAUAUAUAUUUUUUUAUAAAAAAUAUAGAACAAUAUCCUGAUUUAUAACAAUUCAUACGCAAAAUCAACAAGGUACUGCAAACUCUUUAUUUAAGAAAUUACAAGAGUAUUGCAGUAUACAAAGUGCUUAUUUUAACACUGAACUUUGACGUCGUGUUUUUUCUUUAAAUGUGCGGCGAGAUUUGUACUCCCUGAAUAUUUGAUCACCGCAUGGCAGGAUUCUAAGGAUGGCACGUGUCUUGCCCGUUGAGCCAUCUUUUCUUUGGAAUCCAAAGUGCUUCCAAACGAAUGACUUGAAGCCUAAAGGGGAGCAAAUCUCCUCGUCUUUUUGGACACUAGCCAUAGCACCAGCCCAGGAGCCGCGUACUAGUUGUCGACUCCCCUUUCACGUGCCUGCUCUGCUCACAACACAACGCCGCGGCGCACACUGCUCCCGGAAAGAGGAAGCAAGCAACAAUGAACUGGAUUUCAAAUAAAGGCGCGUCUAAUGUCCGAGAAAGAACUACGAUACGAUAUUUGCCGAUAUCUUAAAGCCUGCUGCGAUUCAUUCACGAUAUAUCGCGAUAUAGUGCUCUACGAUCGAUAUAUAUAUUUUUUUUAUAAAAAAUAUAGAACAAUAUCCUGAUUUAUAACAAUUCAUACGCAAAAUCAACAAGGUACUGCAAACUCUUCAUUUAGGAAAUUACAAGAGUAUUGCAGUAUACAAAGUGCUUAUUUUAACACUGAACUUUGACGUCGUGUUUUUUCUUUAAAUGUGCGGCAAGAUUUGUGGUCCCUGAAUAUUUGAUCACCGCAUGGCAGGAUUUACAAACUGCACGUGUCUUGCCCGUUGAGCCAUCUUUUCUUUGGAAUCCGAAGUGCUUCCAAACGAACGACUUGAAGCCUAAAGGGGAGCAAAUAUCCUCGUCUUUUUGGACACUAGCCAUAGCACCAGCCCAGGAGCCGCGUACUAGUUGUCGACUCCCCUUUCACGUGCCUGCUCUGCUCACAACACAACACACCGCUCACUGCUCCCGGAAAGAGGGCCCCGCCCCCCUUUUCUUGUCUUCCGGGUUAGAGCAACGCUGGCGUCUGGACUGUUAACUGCCGCUUCUACCCCGUACCGUGUCCGCUACUUGUUUGUCCCCCGUCUGUUUUGUGUUUCCCGUUUUAAGUGUGCCCGUUUUUUCUUUUAUUUUCUCGCCUUUUCUCCUGCCCACCGCGUAUCUCUGGAGCUCUGCUCGCACCUCUCCGAUCCCGCUCCCUCUGACUACGAGCUACGCUAGCCAGCUAGCCAACCCACCACCGGACCCUCCUACCUCCCGGCUCUGAGCCUGUAGCUGCUUGCUCUUGGCUCGGCAAACGGCUCCAACCCAACUUGCUGGCCACUUGGCCGGCGUCCUCGGGGGGGGAGCACCCGCUCGCUGCGAGCUCGCCGGUCGUGGCUCGGCGGUGUGCCGCCAUGACACACUUGGGCGUGCCGUUUGCACGGGUACAGUCGGGAUUGACCAACACCACCACCCACUCCAUCAACAUCACGACUCGGUCCACUGCUGCUUCCAUGCAUUUCACUGCCUACCAACUUCUAGUUAACCAGCUACUAGCCAUUUCUACCAUCUUAUCUGGAUUAUUCCCUGCUGCUGUCACGUCUCAUCUCCUGCAUGAACUAUCACUUCUGCUACUCCAGGCUUCCAUUCCACUAACUUCUCGUCCAUUUGUCUACACUGCUGCUGAUCUUCAUCAUUUCUACAAUAAUCACCGUCUCCCUGCUGCUGCUGCCUCAGCUGCCAGCAAGGCUGGGAUCCUCCACCGUCGCCGCUACAUCCACCGUAGCUCCGGACUAUCUUUUAAACGACAUUUCCCUGAUGGCUCACCCAUCCCCUCUUUCUGGACUUACUCUCGCCCCCCCGUCACCCCCACCUUCCGUACUGUGAACUUCAACAAUCUCCGUUCCCCCACCCCCGCUCCUUCAUCCAUCACCCUUGCACUGCUGAACUGUCGCUCCCUCUCCAACAAAUCACUAGUUAUUUUCGAACUAAUAUUGGACAAUAAUUUGGAUCUGCUCCUUCUCUGUGAAACAUGGCAACAGCCCCUGGACUAUUUUUCUCUCAACCAAGCCACUCCGUCUAACUACAGCUACAUCGCAAAACCCCGCCUCUCUGGGCGAGGAGGUGGUAUUGCUGUCAUCCAUAAGCGGUCCCUAUCAAUCACUGAAUUGGACCUCAACCUCCCAUCUAUUUCAUCCUUUGAAUAUCUCGCUUUUUCCCUCCCCAACUCUACUACUGCUGUUCUUAUCUACCGCCCCCCCAAGUCACAUCCGUCUUUUCUCUCUGAACUCUCUGAACUUCUCACCAUCGUAUCCUCAGUCUCCUAUUGCCUCCUACUAAUCGGUGACUUCAAUAUCCACAUCGACCAGCCAACUGCUCCACUGACGUCUGACUUCAUCUCCGUUCUGGACUGCUUUCAUCUCACCCAGCACAUCAACUUCCCCACCCACACCAAAGGCCACACUCUGGAUAUAGUAUGCUCCUCCUUUCCACUCACAUCCAACCCCCGUCCUCUCACCUUUCCACUGUCAGAUCAUCUCUGCAUCCUCUUCUCCGCCCCUCUGCCCUCGCCUCAUAAAUCCACAAAGCGCACCAUCUCCUACCGCAACAUCAAGACUGUAAACCCAAUCACGCUUUGCCAGGUCUUAUCCUCUGCUCUUCCCUCCGACCCCACUUCUUCCUCCCCUGAUGACCUUGCCACCACGCUCAACAACAUCCUUUCUGACUCCCUUGAUUCCCUAGCCCCCUGGAAAACCUCCUCUGUUACAUUCACUAACUCUGCCCCUUGGUACACACCGGAACUCCGCACCAUGAAACAAACUGGCCGUCAACUCGAACGCCUCUACAAAAGAACCCGCCUCACCGUCCAUUCCGAAACCUUGAAACAACACAUCUCCUCCUAUCGUGAUGCUCUUCUUGCUGCCAAAUCUGCUUACUUCUCAUCUCUCAUUAAUAACACCAACCGAAACCCCCGCAUACUGUUCUCCACCAUCAACAAAUUGCUCCAGCCACCGGUCACUAAGCCACCCUCCUCACCUGCCCUCUGUAACUCCUUCCUUGUCAACUUUAACAACAAAAUCGCCCAAAUCAACAGUUCUCUGACCGACACCAUCAAUAACUCCUCCUCCCCUGCCCUCCUGCCCCCCCCCCCUUCCUGACCUCCCACCCUUUCCCUCUCUCACUGCCUUCUCUCUUGUUGACUCCUCCACUAUCCUAGACAUCAUUACCUCAUCCAAGACAACCACCUGCUCUCUUGACCCUCUUCCAACGACCUUAACUAAGGCCUGCCUCCCUGUCCUCCUCCCCUACCUCACCACUCUUUUUAAUCAGUCUUUAUCCCUAGGCCACUUUCCCACUGUCUAUAAACUUGCAGCCAUCACCCCCAUCCUCAAAAGGCCCACCUUGGACCCACUCAACCUCUCCAACUACCGUCACAUCUCCAACCUUUCAUUCCUUUCCAAAACCCUUGAACGCAUUGUCUCCGCCCAACUCCACACCCAUCUCCAGUCCAACAACCUCUAUGAACCCUUCCAGUCCGGAUUCCGCCCACUUCACGGCACUGAAACAGCUCUAGUUAAAGUCACCAACGAUCUCCUCAUUUCUGCAGACUCUGGUGCCCUCAACAUCCUACUACUACUUGACCUGAGCGCAGCCUUUGACACUGUGAACCAUUCCAUUCUCCUCCAAAGGUUGCGCCAACUAGGUGUUGAGGGCACUGCACUCGACUGGCUCACCUCCUACCUCACCAACAGAAACCAGUUCAUCUCUCUCUCCGGUCACACAUCCAUCCUCUCCCCAGUUACACAAGGGGUCCCCCAAGGCUCAGUUCUUGGCCCCCUCCUAUUCAUCUGUUACCUCUUUCCCCUUGGUACUGUCAUCCGCAAACUCAAUCUGGACUUCCACUGCUACGCUGAUGACACCCAGAUCUAUAUACGUACGACACCAACCAGUAACCCUUCCCUCACCCAUCUUGAAACCUGCAUCUCUACAAUAAAAGCAUGGCUGACCCACAACUUUCUCAAACUCAACAGUGACAAAACAGAGCUCCUCCUCAUAGGCACUAAAUCCUCCCUUAAUAAAACUGGCUCCAUCACACUCACCAUUGACUCCUCAAACAUCACUCCUUCCCCUCUGGCACGCAAUCUUGGCGUUAUUUUCGACCCCACACUGUCCUUUCAACCUCAUGUUAGCUCAGUUGUCAAGACCUCCUACUUCCACCUCCGACGCAUCGCUAAAAUCCGGCACUGCCUUUCUCUCCCUGCCGCUGAAUCUCUCAUCCACGCCUUCAUCUCAUCCCGGCUUGACUACUGCAACUCCCUUCUCACUGGAAUCACUGCUCACUCACUCCAUAGACUUCAACUAGUCCAAAACUCUGCUGCCCGCCUCCUUACCCACACCCGGUCCCGUGAACACAUCACUCCUGUUCUCCACUAUCUUCACUGGCUCAUGAAGGAGCGUAUCAUCUUCAAGAUACUCCUCCUCACCUUCAAAGCCCUUCACCGCCUGGCUCCCACUUACCUAUCCGACCUGCUUGUCCCCUACUGCCCCAACCGUCCCCUCCGAUCCUCCAAUACUUCACGUCUGACAGUCCCAAAAUCCAAACUCAAAUCCUUCGGUGACAGAGCCUUCUCCUGCACAUCACCUCGACUCUGGAACUCUCUCCCCCAGUCUGUCUGUGACUCACCCACACUCCCCAUAUUUAAGUCCCGUCUAAAAACUUACCUCUUCUCCCAAGCUUAUGACCUCCCCUAUCCAUAACUGAUUUCCUCUUCUUAGGUUUAUCCGAUUGUUUCCUUCCCGAUCAUGUAUGUCCUUGCCUUGUUCCCUGUAAGCGUCUUUGGGUUCUUGAAAAGCGCUAUACAAAUUUAAUGAAUUAUUAUUAUUAUUAUUAUUAAGAUGGCCGCUACACUGGGAGUGGGGGUCAAGGGUUGAAUUGUGUAAGCUUAGUGGAAGUGGGGGUGAAUGGGGGUGAAUAUGGUAAGCAUCAGGUGAACAAAGUGAAUAAAGUUCGAAUGGAUUGAAUCGGUCGAAAAAUGUAGAAAUUAAAGUAGCAAAACGAAAUUUUGGAGAAUUUGGUUGAAUUUCAAAUUUGAAAGUUUGGCAUUUUUGGUAAGUGGCAAGUUGUGGAAUAGGUAGGCAAAAAAUGAACAGUUGAAAAUUGGAAUGGAUUGAAUCGGUUGAAAAAUGUAGAAAUUAGAGUAGAAAAACGAAAUUUUGGAGAAUUUGAUUGAAUUCCAAAUUUGGAAUUUUUGGUAAGUGGGAAGUUGUGGAUUAGGUAGGCAAAAGAUGAACAGUUUAAAAUUGGAAUGGGUAGAAUCGGUUGAAAAAUGUAGAAAUUAGACAAGAAAAACGAAAUUUUGGAGAAUCUGGUUGAAUUUCAAAUUUGGAAUUUUUGGUAAAUGGGAAGUUGUGGAAUAAGUAGGCAAAAGAUGAAGAGUUGAAAGUUGGAAUGGAUUAAAUCGGUUGAAAAAUGUAGAAAUUAGAGUAGAAAAACGAGAUUUUGGAGAAGUUGGUUGAAUUUCAAAUUUGGAGUUUUUGGUAAGUGGGAAGUUGAGGAUUAGGUAGGCAAAAGAUGAGCAGUUGAAAAUUGGAAUGGGUAGAAUCGGUUGAAAAAUGUUGAAAUUAGAGAAGAAAAAUGGAAUUUAGGAGAAUUUGGUUGAAUUUCAAAUUUGAAAAAGUGGAAUCUUUGCUAAGUGGGAAGGUGUGGAAUAGGUAGGCAUGUUGAAUCGGUUGAAGUAUGUAGAAAUUAGAAGUGAAAAACGAAAUUUUGCGAAAUAUUUUACAAUAUUAUAAUUUGUGCAAAUUUUAAACAUGAAAACGUGAAAUUUUUGAAUUUGGCAAGUUUGGGAAUGUCCCCAAUGUCAUUUGAAUGUGUUGAAUUAUGUGAAAUUCAAACCACGGUAACUAUCACAACUACUACGAUCUCCCUUGUUCUUGUACAGUGUAACAAUCUUGGCGUCCUUCAUAUCCUGUGGUACUUUGCCGUCUCUCCAACACCAUCACAGGAGUUUGUGGAGUGGUUUCAGAAGCGCUGGUUUUCCGCACUUGAUUAUCUCGGGAGGUAUUCCAUCCGCACCAGGAGACUUCCGACAUGCUAGAGCAUCAAUGGCCUUGGUUGGUCCAUAGUCUAACUCGUCCAUCACUGGAAGGUCUUCUAACGUACUGAUUGCGUCUUGCAAAACUAGCGAUGGAUUGGCAUACAAGUCGAGGUAGUAUUCUACCCAUCUCAUUAGCUGUUUGCUUUUGUCAAUGAUGACUUCACCAGUCUUGGAUUUUAUGGGCGCAUAUUUCUUCACAAAUUUUCCAGUAGCUUGUUUGAUGCCUUCGUACAUUGCCCUGACGUUGCCAUUAGUUGAGGCAUGUUGAAUGGUUUCUGACAGCUGGAGCCAGUAGUCGUUCGGGCAGCGGCGGGCUGUUCUCUGGACGUUACCCCGUGCAGACUUCAGUUCCUGCAAGUUUUUGGUAGAUGGGUGCUGCUUGUACUUGCAGAAUGCUUUGCGUUUGACAUCAAGGACUGACUCCAUUUCGGCAAUGUUCGCCUCACACCAGUCUGUGUUAUUGCGUUCCUUCUUACCUCAGGUCAGAGUUGCUUCCGUCUGAAUGGUAGUGCGGAUAAACUUCCACCUGUCUUCAGCACACUCUCGAUGAUCAUUUGACAGCGUGCUUUCCAGUCUUGCAAUAAACUCGGCGUUCUUGUUUACACAGUUUGUCUUGUCGAUAUUGAUGUGUGGCUGACACUUCGACUUCGAAUGAUGAAACCUCUUGAGCUUAAGAUUCAAUUUGCUCACAAUCAAUGAGUGGUAAGUGUCGCAGUCUGCGCUGUGGUAAGCUCUCGUGUUGCAGACGCUAUUCAAACAAUUACGUCGAGUGACUACAAGGUCAAGUUGAUGCCAGUGUUUUGAUCUCGGAUGUCUCCAAGACACUUUGCGACAUGCCUUGUUUUGAAAGUAAGUGUUGCGAACAGAGCAUAGUUCUAGAAGCCUUUGACCAUUUUCAUUCAUCUUUCCAACGCCGUGACACCUGGUCCGCACCCACCCUCGCAUUGAAGUAACCUAGGACAUAAAGGUGCUCAGAUACAGCGAUUGCACUCAGGAUGGAAUCUAAAGAUUCAUAGAAACUGUCUUUUGUUUCUGCUGUAGCCUGUAGCGUUGGGGCGUAAACACAGAUGAUGUUAGCUGGAUCUUUGGUUGUUGAAAGACGCAUUUUGAGAGUUCUUUCCGUGCCAUUGGUAGGUGGUUCGAUCAUUUCGAUUAAGUGAUUCUUCACGGCGAAGCCCACUCCAUGUUCCUUUGGUUGAUCAUGAUUUUUUUCUUGCCAGAAAAAGGUAUAGUGCUUUUCUUUCAAUGAUCCACUUCCAGACAGUCGUGUUUCCUGUAAAGCAGCGAUGUCUAUAUUCAGCCUGCACAGUUCGCGAUCAAUCACCGCCGUCUUUCGAGUGUCUUGUACUGCUUGAAGAACUUCAGUCAGACCGGGUCUCAUAGUCCGUACAUUCCAGGUACCCAGCUUGAGAGCUGGUAAGAUCCUGUUGUUUAUCUUGUUCACAUGUACAAAGUUAACAAUCUACUUGUCGAGCCUUAACUGUUAGCUCCAGGUACCCUCUGAAGCAGGUAGACCGUGAUGGGUCAGCACCUUACUGACCGGGGGCUGCCCGGCUUUAGGCGGGCAAUAGCUGACCAGUGAGACUUCGAUGGUCUCUCCCACCGUCGAGGACAACCCGUAGCGUCCGACUCUGCAUCAACUGAGCAUGGACUUAUAACUCGUAAACUGCUGCCCUCCGUGUUGUGCUCUCACCAGACGGCGAGGCUGGACUAUCCUCUCCAGGGCGCUAGCCAGGGCAGAAUUUUUGAAGAUCAUGCAUUGCCCAUUAAACAUGACUCCACUCUCGGCUGCACCAACUCGAUCCAAGGGAACGCUGCGCAUUACAUUUGGAGCUGGUUUAGCUGCAGGAGCUGCCGGAGAGAUGUCGACGUCGACUAUCUAACCGUCUUCGGGGCUCCACUCCGAAUUUUUCCUCAGGGUUGUCUCCCGAAGCCUUUCCCGAGAAUAGGUAACACACAAGGCAGUGGGGGUUUGAGAAUCAGGGUUUUCCGUCCCCUAGAUGGAUUGCCCUCCCAAGCUGACGAGCUCCAUCUACCCGAAGCAACUGGUUUUGAGGCACCAGUCACACGCCUUCGCCCCUUCUCCUGUUAGUAGAAGCAGUUCCGUCGGGCUUUGAGUCGAAGCCACGCGUGCAGGCCAGGAGUUGGACUUUGGUUGUCAGAGGCUCUUUGAGACGCAUGCCUUAUGGGAGCUUUUUAUAGGCAGUGGGAGCUUAUCCCCACUACCACCCCCGGCGUAACAACCUUUGGAAUUAUAACUAAUAAUAGUUGAGAAUGGUGUAGAAUAACAUAUGUUUGAGGGCCAUUGCGUUCACACAAUAGACAUCUUUUUCUACAAUAAAAAGCAUAAUAAUUGGACAAUAAAGUUGUAUUUUUUUAAUUCACUAGUUAAAUUAUUGCUUUCACCUCUCUUUAAGAUUUAGAAUCAUUCAUAAUAUCAUGGAAUUAUGUUGGAAAAGCACAACUUUAUUUUUGUAGGAUAUGAGUUUGUUUUUUUAUCCUGGGAAAAAAGAAAAGAAAAGAGGGGGCUCCCUUGACCCAAACAGUUUGCAAAGCCCUGAAUUGGACUUAAUUGCCCUCACUACAUCAACUACUAAAUAGCUCCACCCCCAUCCACACCCAUAGAGGGAUGAGAGAAUUGAGAGUGAGGGAGGCGGGCAAGACUAUAGAUCACUCAGUUGACACGCUCCAGACAGACUGAGAGCAAGUCACAACAAAAUAUGAAGGAAAACUAACAAACUUGAACUUUAUGUAAGAUGGAAAAAAAUAUGGGACGCUUAAAGCCACUCUUCAGGUGAGUGUUUAAUGAUGGUGUGCCUUCUAUUUAUACAAAUGCUGACUUUGGAAGUAUGCUGGUAGUGUGGUGCAAGUUCCUGUGCUAGUUUUAGAUGCAGUAUAAACACUUCCGCUUGUAGCGCCGAUGUAUUUUCUACACACAGUUGAGCCACAGUGGUCCCAGCAACACCCUCAGUCAACAGUCGAGCCGGCCUGAAACCACAAGUCUGUUUGCAGGAUUGGUCAACCGUGCUGCGUGGAUGAGAGCAAAGAUUCCUGAACAUUAUCGAAAAGGCCCAAGAUGGGGGACAAGAGUCAUAUGACGUGACUCGAGGAGCUAUUUUUAUCACUGGCCAACAACUUGGGAACGACUUGGCUUUGGCUUUGACUCGAACUACAUGGCUUGACAAAUCAUCUAUUUUUCAAAGUUUGACAUCUGGAAUUUAACACAGUUGGCCUUAUUAGGACUAUUUUUAUUCUCGAGCUUCACUUGGCUCAACGUGUCAUCAUUUGCGGAGGUGCUGAGAUGCACCUACAAAUCACAGUUUUUAUGUUUUCACAAAGCCACAAAAUGUCCAACAACACUCAGUUUGUGUUUAGCCAAAAUCGUGUCACCACAAUAUGCUCUCCUUCCUCAGAUGAAGAUGAAUGACUGGCUGCUAAGUGGCUUGAAGGGCGAGAUAUACUUUAGCGAUGGGUUAUGUUUCGCAGCAGACCCAGUGAAACCCAUCAACACUGCCUAGAAUGGACGACCCAAUAAAUACUGCACUGAGUCUUCAUAAGUUUAA
This is an RNA transcript of Syngnathus typhle (broad-nosed pipefish), 11024 nucleotides long. It is a transcript of the gene named lactosylceramide 1,3-N-acetyl-beta-D-glucosaminyltransferase A-like, with no coding region annotated. The record is from RefSeq and is a predicted model, not a curated record. Lineage: Eukaryota; Metazoa; Chordata; Actinopteri; Syngnathiformes; Syngnathidae. The transcript has 2 exons.